Molecule: ribosomal RNA, 317 nt
Filed under: uncultured eukaryote
Lineage: Eukaryota
Description: partial 18S ribosomal RNA
Rfam family: Eukaryotic small subunit ribosomal RNA
Source: RNAcentral
CCCUUAGAUGUUCUGGGCCGCACGCGCGCUACACUGACGGAGGCAACAAGCCUAUCCUUGGCCGAGAGGUCCGGGUAAUCUUCGAAACUCCGUCGUGAUGGGGCUAGAUGAUUGCAAUUAUUCAUCUUCAACGAGGAAUCCCUAGUAAGGGCGCGUCAUCAACGCGUCCUGAUUACGUCCCUGCCCUUUGUACACACCGCCCGUCGCUCCUACCGAUUGGGUGCUCCGGUGAAUUGUUUGGACUGCUGUCAGUCUUUUUGGCUGUCGGCGAGAAGCUCUGUGAACCUUAGCACCUAGAGGAAGGAGAAGUCGUAACA